This 224-nucleotide unclassified non-coding RNA is filed under the name Hevea brasiliensis (rubber tree). Lineage: Eukaryota; Viridiplantae; Streptophyta; Magnoliopsida; Malpighiales; Euphorbiaceae. The record is from RNAcentral.
CUUGGCGCUUUCGGGGCCAAACAUUCCCCCCCCGGUUUUCCCCUCAGCGGCGGCUAAUCCACCCGCCGCCGCCGCCGCCACCAUCCCCGCUGCCGAGCCGGUCGAGUUGAUUGACGGCGAUGAAGUGGCGGUGGUUGAGGGGCCUGAAGAGAAUGGACUUGUACAGUUGGAGGAUUUAACUAACGAUUUGACAUACUCAUCGUUUUUGAGCUCCGAUGGGAGCC